RNAcentral lists this small nuclear RNA (105 nucleotides) under Amborella trichopoda. Lineage: Eukaryota; Viridiplantae; Streptophyta; Magnoliopsida; Amborellales; Amborellaceae. The record is from RNAcentral.
UUUUAAUAGAAAAUUGUUCAAAACUCCGAUAAAAUUGGAACGAUAAAAUUUGCAUGGCCCUGGGCAAGGAUGAAACACACCAAUCAAGAAAUGGUCCAACCUUUU